UCGGCUGCACUCGGCUUUUCUCGGCAGCUGCUUCGUUGCUCAGCAUGGAGCAGCAGUAGCAGCGGCGGACCGACGCUUUUCAUCACGGUUAACUUUGCAGAUCUGGUGGAGAUGGCUGGAAGUUAAGCUUCAUCACUAUAAUAGCUGGAAGUAUUAUGUGCAGCUAUAAUUUAGUUUCUCUCAUUUUAUAAAUAUUAUAAUCUGAUAUUUUUAUUCUGAGCAUCCAACAUUCUGCAGGCUCCCUGAUGGGGCCCUCAGCCUCUAAAGAGGCUUGGGCUCUCAGAGAGAAAGGGCCAGACCCUUGGAGGAGGUGGAGGUCAGGGUGGGGACGCCUCCACCCUCAUCCUCAGCCGCUGCUCCCUGCAGUUCAGGAUGUUCUCAGGGAGAACCCUGCAGUGGCUGCUGGAGAACAACCUGGUCUCCUCCCACCAGAAGGAGAGGACAGGGUCUCAGUCCCCCUCAUGGUCAAUAAGGUAGAACCUGCUCUGUUAUUAGGAGCCCUUUGGUUCUCUUCAGUCUUAAUCCUGUCUGCGUCCUUGCAGCUCCGCCUCAUUCUACCCUGACUUCAUGGAGGCAGUCAGGUUCCUCUGGGCCUCUGAGGAGGAGCAGGCCCAGUCCUGUCAGCCUGGCCAGGAGGGACAGGUCCUUGUUGGCUUUGAGGACUUUAAAUACGAGCCUCUAUGAUUCUGAGGAGCCUCAGAAGAUCCGCUAUGACAGAACGGUGGAACCUGUGAAUGUUUAGCAUCUGCAGCCCGUCAGUCAGCUGACCGUCUGUCUCACCUGCUCAGGGUGGAGGACUACCUGCGGCGGACGUCCUCUGCUCCAGGCUCCACAUGGAGAAGGCUGUGGGCUACGUUCACCGCAGGGAAGUGUUAGCUGCAGUUUUUAACUUUUAAUGGAUUAUAAAAUCAUGUUUCCUGCUUUCAGCUUCUUGCCUUGGUGUCGUCACGGCGUUCUCCGUCUGGGUGGAGAUGCAGGCGGCGAUGAAGAAGCUCAGCUCCUCACUAAGCCUGCAGCUCCAGGUGAGAUGAAAUUCACAGGAGAUGCGCCGAGCAUGCUGGGAUUCUCUGUGAUUCUUCUCCAGCAGAAACCUGAGACCAGCUCCUCCCGCCCAGACCCCUGUGGAGCCCAGCGACGAGGAGCUGAUGAGGAGAAGUCCUCAGAUAAAGAAGCAGAGGAAGGUCCUUCCACCUCCUCCCUGCCGUCUCCGCUGAGCUGGAGGACCCGACUGAUGAGGAGCUGCUGGAGGCCUGAAGGCGGAGCCUCCGUUCAGCCGCUGGACCUCCAGAGACGCCCAGCAGACAGGACGCCCCCCCUGUACCGUCAGCUGCCUGCCUCCUGACGGCGUACGGCUACGACGUGGUGAUGCGGCUGGACGAGUUCAAGGCCCAGAUCACGUCCACUGCAAUAACGGAUUGGCGACCUUGGGAUCCAUUUUGAAAUGGAGGCAGAGGUUCUUGGACCUGAUCCGGUCGAGGAUCUCACCAGGCCUGCUGCGUACAGGAGAACUCAUCAGACUUCCUGUUUGCUGCAGACAGGAAGCGUGUUUGAGGACGUCAGCGUGGAUCCUGACAGGAGGAGGAAGAGCAGGAGGAGGAGGAGGAGGAGCCCACCAUCUUCCCUCCAGACUCCUCCUCCUCUCCUGCAGCCUCUCAGUCAGGAGCAUCCUGGUGGUCCCUCAUCCACAGCGACUACGUGUCGAUACGGCAGACGGUGCUGGGAGCCCGAGGCUGAUGGCUCAGACCUCCAUCCAGAUCAACCAGAGGACCUUCUCCCAGUGGUGAGAGCUUUGUAACUGGAGACUGUCUGUGUGUCGUCUCCAUCAGCAGUGGGAGACGUCUGUGAUGGAGCAGGGAGUCUCCAUGGUUGCUCCAUCUGUGGCAGACCGAGCCCUGCUUCCUGCAGAGGAGCCCUCCUUGGAGAUGGUGAUGGAACCUGUGCAGGUGUGGGCAGCUGAGCAGACACUGGGCUCAGCAGGAUCAGGGUGUGUCCUACUGGCCACAGUAAGAAUGGAGGAGGGACUUUAAAAAGAAUGUUAUUAGAAUUCCUAUUAUAACUACCAGUCUGUU
Molecule: long non-coding RNA, 2069 nt
Organism: Fundulus heteroclitus (mummichog)
Lineage: Eukaryota; Metazoa; Chordata; Actinopteri; Cyprinodontiformes; Fundulidae
Exons: 5
Source: RefSeq, a predicted model, not a curated record